AUGCCCUAGUAACGGCGAGUGAAGCGGCAACAGCUCAAAUUUGAAAUCUGGCUUUCGGGUCCGAGUUGUAAUUUGUAGAGGAUGAUUUUGGUUAGGUACCUUCCGAGUUCCUUGGAACAGGACGCCUUAGAGGGUGAGAGCCCCGUACGGUUGGAUGCCGAGCCUCUGUAAAUCUCCUUCGACGAGUCGAGUAGUUUGGGAAUGCUGCUCUAAAUGGGAGGUAAAUUUCUUCUAAAGCUAAAUACCGGCCAGAGACCGAUAGCGCACAAGUAGAGUGAUCGAAAGAUGAAAAGCACUUUGAAAAGAGGGUUAAAUAGUACGUGAAAUUGUUGAAAGGGAAGGGCUUGUGACCAGACCUUUGCCUUGCGGAUCAUCCGGUGUUCUCACCGGUGCACUCCGCUUGGUUGAGGCCAGCAUCAGUUUCGGCGGCGGGAUAAAGACUUCAGGAACGUGACUCCCCCGGGAGUGUUAUAGCCUGCUGUGUAAUACCGCCGCUGGGACUGAGGACCGCGCUUCGGCUAGGAUGCUGGCAUAAUGGUCAUCAGCCACCCGUCUUGAAACACGGACCAAGGAGUCGAACAUUUAUGCGAGUUUUUGGGUGUUAAACCCUCAAGCGUAAUGAAAGUGAACGGAGGUGAGAGCCCUUACGGGUGCAUCAUCGACCGAUCCUGAUGUCUUCGGAUGGAUUUGAGUAAGAGCAUAACUGUUCGGACCCGAAAGAUGGUGAACUAUGCGUGGAUAGGGUGAAGCCAGAGGAAACUCUGGUGGAGGCUCGCAGCGGUUCUGACGUGCAAAUCGAUCGUCAAAUCUGCGCAUGGGGCGAAAGACUAU
Molecule: ribosomal RNA, 831 nt
Filed under: Microdochium albescens
Lineage: Eukaryota; Fungi; Ascomycota; Sordariomycetes; Xylariales; Microdochiaceae
Description: eukaryotic LSU rRNA
Rfam family: Eukaryotic large subunit ribosomal RNA
Source: RNAcentral